GACGUAGGAUGCAAGCGUUGUCCGGAAUCAUUGGGCGUAAAGCGUUCGUAGGCGGUAUACCAAGUCUGAUGUUAAAGCCCGGAGCUCAACUCCGGUUCGGCAUUGGAUACUGGUAAACUAGAGUGCAAUAGAGGUAAGGGGAAUCCCUAGUGUAGCGGUGAAAUGCGUAGAUAUUAGGAGGAACACCGGUGGCGAAAGCGCCUUACUGGGUUGUAACUGACGCUGAGGAACGAAAGCCAGGGUAGCAAAUGGG
RNAcentral lists this ribosomal RNA (253 nucleotides) under uncultured bacterium. RNAcentral's name for it is "partial 16S ribosomal RNA". It matches the Rfam family "Bacterial small subunit ribosomal RNA", at positions 524 to 776 of the family's 1533-position model. The record is from RNAcentral.